AGGGAAGCCAGCGACCUGAGGGGAACCGGUUGACCGGAAGGGAGCUAGUGACCGGAGGGGAGCCGGUGACCGGAAGGUAGCCGGUAACCGGAGGGGAGGAGCCGGUUGACCGGAGAGAAGCCAGCGACCUGAGGGGAACCGGUUGACCGGAAGGGAGCCAGUGACCGGAGGGUAGCCGGUGACCGGAAGGUAGCCGGUAACCGAAGGGGAGGAGCCGGUGACCUGAGGGGAGCCAGUGACCAGAGGGGAGGAGCCGGCGACCAGAGGGGAGCCGGCGACUGGAGGGGAACCGAUGACCUCAGGGGAGCUGGUGACCGGAGAGG
RNAcentral lists this long non-coding RNA (323 nucleotides) under Ananas comosus (pineapple). RNAcentral describes it as "long non-coding RNA (ACOM_LNC020830)". Lineage: Eukaryota; Viridiplantae; Streptophyta; Magnoliopsida; Poales; Bromeliaceae. The record is from RNAcentral.